RNAcentral lists this ribosomal RNA (685 nucleotides) under uncultured Vibrionaceae bacterium. RNAcentral describes it as "bacterial SSU rRNA". It matches the Rfam family "Bacterial small subunit ribosomal RNA", at positions 1 to 671 of the family's 1533-position model. The record is from RNAcentral. Lineage: Bacteria; Pseudomonadati; Pseudomonadota; Gammaproteobacteria; Vibrionales; Vibrionaceae.
UAGAGUUUGAUCCUGGCUCAGAUUGAACGCUGGCGGCAGGCCUAACACAUGCAAGUCGAGCGGAAACGACAUUAUUGAAUCUUCGGAGGAUUUAAUGGGCGUCGAGCGGCGGACGGGUGAGUAAUGCCUAGGAAAUUGCCUUGAUGUGGGGGAUAACCAUUGGAAACGAUGGCUAAUACCGCAUAAUGCCUACGGGCCAAAGAGGGGGACCUUCGGGCCUCUCGCGUCAAGAUAUGCCUAGGUGGGAUUAGCUAGUUGGUGAGGUAAUGGCUCACCAAGGCGACGAUCCCUAGCUGGUCUGAGAGGAUGAUCAGCCACACUGGAACUGAGACACGGUCCAGACUCCUACGGGAGGCAGCAGUGGGGAAUAUUGUACAAUGGGCGAAAGCCUGAUGCAGCCAUGCCGCGUGUAUGAAGAAGGCCUUCGGGUUGUAAAGUACUUUCAGUUGUGAGGAAGGGUGUGUAGUUAAUAGCUGCGCAUCUUGACGUUAGCAACAGAAGAAGCACCGGCUAACUCCGUGCCAGCAGCCGCGGUAAUACGGAGGGUGCGAGCGUUAAUCGGAAUUACUGGGCGUAAAGCGCAUGCAGGUGGUUCAUUAAGUCAGAUGUGAAAGCCCGGGGCUCAACCUCGGAACUGCAUUUGAAACUGGUGAACUAGAGUGCUGUAGAGGGGGGUAGAAUUUCA